RNAcentral lists this transfer RNA (82 nucleotides) under Streptomyces phage Daubenski. Its description in RNAcentral is "tRNA-Ser". It matches the Rfam family "tRNA". Rfam says of the family: Transfer RNA (tRNA) molecules are approximately 80 nucleotides in length. Their secondary structure includes four short double-helical elements and three loops (D, anti-codon, and T loops). Further hydrogen bonds mediate the characteristic L-shaped molecular structure. tRNAs have two regions of fundamental functional importance: the anti-codon, which is responsible for specific mRNA codon recognition, and the 3' end, to which the tRNAs corresponding amino acid is attached (by aminoacyl-tRNA synthetases). tRNAs cope with the degeneracy of the genetic code in two manners: having more than one tRNA (with a specific anti-codon) for a particular amino acid; and 'wobble' base-pairing, i.e. permitting non-standard base-pairing at the 3rd anti-codon position. Lineage: Duplodnaviria; Heunggongvirae; Uroviricota; Caudoviricetes; Stanwilliamsviridae. RNAcentral also lists the same sequence under 1 other name. The record is from RNAcentral.
GGAAGGUGAGCGAGAGGUCUCGCAGAUUGGUUGCUAACCAAUUGAUUGUAACAGGUCGGGGUUCGAAUCCUCCGCCUUCCGC